Molecule: ribosomal RNA, 1191 nt
Filed under: human gut metagenome
Description: bacterial LSU rRNA
Rfam family: Bacterial large subunit ribosomal RNA
Source: RNAcentral
CGGAAUGAGUAGCGCGAAUGCAGUGAGAAUCUGCAUGGCCGAAAGCCUCAGGUUUUUGGAGGAAGGUUCGUCCGCUCCAAGUUAGUCGGGAGCUAAGGUGAGGCCGAAAGGCGUAGCCGAUGCACAGACGGUAGAGAUUCCGUCACCACCAAAAGAGUUAAGCACAGGGACACAUAUGAAGUCUCAGAGCCGGGUGUUGGUUCCGGUAGAGAUCGAGGGAAAUUAGUACCGAAGUCUGAGAUGGAAGAUGGCGAGAAAAGCUGUGUGUAUUUCUGAGGUGCCCGUACCGCAAACCGACACAGGUAGGUAGGAAGAAGAUUCUAAGGCCAACGGGAGAAGGGUUGUUAAGGAACUCGGCAAAUUGACCCCGUAACUUCGGGAGAAGGGGUGCUCCAGAGAUGGAGCCGCAGAGAAUCGGCCCAAGCAACUGUUUACCAAAAACACAGGUUUGUGCUAAAUCGAAAGAUGACGUAUACGAGCUGACGCCUGCCCGGUGCUGGAAGGUUAAGAGGAGAUGUGCAAGCAUUGAAUCGAAGCCCCAGUGAACGGCGGCCGUAACUAUAACGGUCCUAAGGUAGCGAAAUUCCUUGUCAGGUAAGUUCUGACCCGCAUGAAAGGCGUAAUGAUUUGGGCACUGUCUCAACAGCCCGCCCGGCGAAAUUGUAGUACCGGUGAAGAUGCCGGUUACCCGCGACAAGACGGAAAGACCCCAUGGAGCUUUACUGUAGCCUAAUAUUGGGUUUCGAUGUUGCAUGCACAGGAUAGAUGGGACACUGGGAAGCAGGUGCUUUGGCGCUUGUGGAGUGGCCGUUGGGAUACCAUCCUUGCGAUAUUGGAAUUCUAACCUGCGGCUCUGAAUCGAGUCGGGGGACAUUGUUAGGUGGGCAGUUUGACUGGGGCGGUCGCCUCCUAAAGAGUAACGGAGGCGUUCAAAGGUUCGCUCAGCUUGAACGGAAAUCAAGCAAAAGAGUGCAAACGCAGAAGCGAGCCUAACUGCGAGACUGACGGGUCGAGCAGUAACGAAAGUUGGAGUUAGUGAUCCGGUGGUAUGUGAGUGGAAAUGCCAUCGCUCAACGGAUAAAAGUUACCCUGGGGAUAACAGGCUGAUCUCCCCCAAGAGUCCACAUCGACGGGGAGGUUUGGCACCUCGAUGUCGGCUCAUCGCAUCCUGGGGCUGUAGUAGGUCCCAAG